Molecule: long non-coding RNA, 262 nt
Filed under: Phasianus colchicus (ring-necked pheasant)
Lineage: Eukaryota; Metazoa; Chordata; Aves; Galliformes; Phasianidae
Description: lncRNA (ENSPCLG00000017144.1)
Source: RNAcentral
AUGAGCUCUUCGGAACGCCUGAGUGGCGUCCGAUCCGACCAAUAAGAGCGCUGGGAAGGGCGAGGGGCGGAGCGGGUGCGACGCGGCGCCGCCAUUUUGCGGCGGAGAAACGGCGGCGGCGGUGGCGACGGAGAGCGGAGCCCAUCCCAGUUCAUCCCAGUUCAUCCCAGUUCAUCCCAGUUACUGUGUCCCCCCCGCAGGCGCCAGCAUCAGACAUGGAAUACGAACGCAGGUAAGGGGGGGGACCCCAAAAAGGAGAGAC